This is a long non-coding RNA of Rhipicephalus sanguineus (brown dog tick), 521 nucleotides long. RefSeq lists it as uncharacterized. Lineage: Eukaryota; Metazoa; Arthropoda; Arachnida; Ixodida; Ixodidae. The record is from RefSeq and is a predicted model, not a curated record. The transcript has 3 exons.
CUCCGCACUGUCACCUGCCAGCUUGGUCGACUCGUCUUCGCUGGAAGAGACGCUGGACAACUCGUCACGCGUCCUCGAACUGCAGAAGAAGCUGAAAGGUGGCACCGCAGUGGCCAGCAGUGGUCUGGGAGGGACCAAGGCCAUCUACCCUGCAAUGCAGAAGGUGCAAGGAAGUGCAGAGGAUGCAACGUUUCCGUCAGCUGCGUAAUCACUGGGAGCAGAUGUCCCAUGCGUCACCCAGUUCGGCGGAGGCAACCAGUACCGUCACAGCUGCAUCUUCUGCAAAACCCACUUCGCCAACAAAGCUCCCGUCACCCACAAAGACGGCAAGUCACUCCCACGUGACAAGUGGUGCUGCCACCAAGAAGAGCAGCGUGCCGUCAGCCGACAACCGGCGCCUCGCACCACGCGGUGCCACCGCUGGCUCCCGGACCCCGAGCCCUAAUAUCUCGGCGGCAGUGGGCGACCGCAGCAGCAGCAGCGCGGUCUCUGAUACCAGUGCACCGGGGAUGGAAGAAGCC